MicroRNA precursor from Pelodiscus sinensis (Chinese soft-shelled turtle), 149 nucleotides. Ensembl annotates it as microRNA 27b. Its record names the gene MIR27B. Lineage: Eukaryota; Metazoa; Chordata; Testudines; Trionychidae. The record is from Ensembl.
GAAAACCCUCGUCCGAACUUUCACUAUGCUGAGAUGAUGAUCUCUCUAACAAGGUGCAGAGCUUAGCUGAUUGGUGAACAGUGAUUGAUCUCCUCUUUGUUCACAGUGGCUAAGUUCUGCACCUGAAGAGAAGGUAAGAUGGGAUACUU